ACCAAGCAGAAUUCUGAUCCCAGCAAGGCAGAGCAAGAAUGGAGUUCAACAAGGGGCACCAUCCCUGUAUUAGUACGCCCAUCAAAGUUUCCCACUCCACCCUACUCUGGUUCUUCAACCAACCUUAGGCCGUCUCCACUGGACAUCUUGCCGCUGGUGACUGAUAAAGGGGUCCAGAACACAGAAAAUGACUGAGAUCCUCUGAUUCGAUGGAACACAUUUGAGGUUCAUACAGCCAGUAAGUCUCUGAAGUGAAUUCAAGUCUUCCUGACUACAGGAAUUUGGUUCUGACUUAUGCUGACUCACAUUUGGAAGUCUUUUGCACCACUGCACCUGCUGGGAUCAUGUCUGUAAACAGGCCAUACCUUGGCUGCACAAAGGAGCAAACCCUGGAGCUCCUCUCCCAGGCGCGACCUAAUAUGGAUUUACACCUUCCAGCCCAUGAAAAUCAGUUCCUGGGACAUCCUGCCUCCUGCCUAAUGGAAAGGAUAAAACUCAUCAAUGUAGAGAAACCACUUGUGGGGAGGAGGAGGGGAUGUACACUCUGUGGGAGGUUGAAAUCAGGACUGGAAUAAUGUUUACUCAUGCAGCUUGGGCUUGAUAACUAAAGUCCGGGGUUACAAUAGCAGUCCCAAUCCUGAUGUUAACUCACUGUGUGGCCACAGACAGGCCAAUUUCCUUCUCUGAGAUUCAUUUUUCUUCUCUGUAAAAUGAAAUAAAUCUAAAAUAGGGUUUCUUAAACUG
Long non-coding RNA from Sarcophilus harrisii (Tasmanian devil), 744 nucleotides. RefSeq lists it as uncharacterized. NCBI's taxonomy places the organism in Eukaryota, Metazoa, Chordata, Mammalia, Dasyuromorphia, Dasyuridae. The record is from RefSeq and is a predicted model, not a curated record. The transcript has 4 exons.